AACUUUCGGCAACGGAUCUCUUGGCUCUAGCAUCGAUGAAGAACGCAGCGAAAUGCGAUAAGUAAUGUGAAUUGCAGAAUUCAGCGAUUCAUCGAAUCUUUGAACGCACCUUGCAACCUUUGGCAUUCCGAAGAGUAUGCUCGUUUGAGUGUCAUUGUACUCUCACACUCCCGAUGCUUUUGGAUCGGGAGCGGUGGACUUGGGCGUUGCUGCUUUACUGUGGCUCGCCUCAAAUGGAGUAGUGCAACUCUUGGUUGGACAUAGUACGGCGUGAUAAGUGUCUUCGCCGGCGCCUCACUAGAGGGUGGCUGAUCGGGAGCUCUGUGCUUCAAACCGUCUUCGGACAACUCUGACAACUUGACCUCAAAUCGAGUAGGACUACCCGCUGAACUUAAGCAUAUCAAUAAGCGGAGGCU
Molecule: unclassified non-coding RNA, 416 nt
Filed under: uncultured Sebacina
Lineage: Eukaryota; Fungi; Basidiomycota; Agaricomycetes; Sebacinales; Sebacinaceae
Description: sequence contains ITS2
Rfam family: 5.8S ribosomal RNA (bases 1-154)
Source: RNAcentral